Molecule: long non-coding RNA, 671 nt
Filed under: Fukomys damarensis (Damara mole-rat)
Lineage: Eukaryota; Metazoa; Chordata; Mammalia; Rodentia; Bathyergidae
Description: lncRNA (ENSFDAG00000029277.1)
Source: RNAcentral
UCAUUUGAAUAUUCACAAUUUUACAUCCUGUGGCAAGCUUGUAGGGGGUUCUGUUUGUUUUGUUUGGGGAGCAGGGUUCAAUCUGGCACAGGAUGCAGCAGGAGUAUCAUCUGGAAGGAGAGGGAGGAGGGUGGAGUAUCAAAUUCUACUGCAUCCCCCAACUUUAGCCCUUCUUAUAUCUUCAGGCCCUACACUAUAUAUGUCCGAGAGUCUGCUCCCUUGGAAAUGACAGUGUCUCCCUUCAGGGUGAGGUCCAGAAAGCAGGACACCCACCACGGACAGGCUGAGGGCAGAGGGAAGAGACGGAGAAGGGGAGUGGAGCAAGCAGGAGGAGAUAGGAAGAAGAAGCACUUUCAGGGACUGACAGUCUCUCACAAAGCAGAGAAAGAAUCUGGGCAGCAGUUGCGGGCUGUGUGGCACUGAUGCAUGGGAGAUCUGCAGGGAGGAACCUUCUGCAGCUUCCUUGGGGAGCCCCUGACUCCCCACCACACCCCCACCAACUGUGUCUCCUUUCCUGGCCCCUUCAGCACCAUCACCAAGACCUGCUGGCUGCUGGCCUCAACCGUGGGGUAAGGGGGAGAAAGGGGAAGUGGGAGGAGGAGGAGUGACCAGCCUUCUAGCCCGAACCCUUGGUGCUGCCAGGGAAACAUCCUCCUCCCACCCCCACCCCC